GACGAACCGUGCGAACGUUAUUCGGAAUCACUGGGCUUAAAGCGCGUGUAGGCGGGGCGGCACGUCGGUCGCUGAAAUCCCCCGGCUUAACCGGGGAAGGGGCGCCGAUACGACCGCCCUGGAGGGACGUAGGGGGAGCUGGAACUUCCGGUGGAGCGGUGAAAUGCGUUGAGAUCGGAAGGAACGCCCGCGGCGAAAGCGAGCUCCUGGACGUCUGCUGACGCUGAGACGCGAAAGCCAGGGGAGCGAACGGG
RNAcentral lists this ribosomal RNA (254 nucleotides) under uncultured bacterium. Its description in RNAcentral is "partial 16S ribosomal RNA". It matches the Rfam family "Bacterial small subunit ribosomal RNA", at positions 524 to 776 of the family's 1533-position model. The record is from RNAcentral.